RNAcentral lists this ribosomal RNA (2638 nucleotides) under Salmonella enterica subsp. enterica serovar Enteritidis. RNAcentral's name for it is "partial 23S ribosomal RNA". It matches the Rfam family "Bacterial large subunit ribosomal RNA". Lineage: Bacteria; Pseudomonadati; Pseudomonadota; Gammaproteobacteria; Enterobacterales; Enterobacteriaceae. The record is from RNAcentral.
CGUCACACUAUCAUUAACUGAAUCCAUAGGUUAAUGAGGCGAACCGGGGGAACUGAAACAUCUAAGUACCCCGAGGAAAAGAAAUCAACCGAGAUUCCCCCAGUAGCGGCGAGCGAACGGGGAGGAGCCCAGAGCCUGAAUCAGCAUGUGUGUUAGUGGAAGCGUCUGGAAAGGCGCGCGAUACAGGGUGACAGCCCCGUACACAAAAGCGCAUGUGCUGUGAGCUCGAUGAGUAGGGCGGGACACGUGGUAUCCUGUCUGAAUAUGGGGGGACCAUCCUCCAAGGCUAAAUACUCCUGACUGACCGAUAGUGAACCAGUACCGUGAGGGAAAGGCGAAAAGAACCCCGGCGAGGGGAGUGAAAAAGAACCUGAAACCGUGUACGUACAAGCAGUGGGAGCACCCUUUGGGUGUGACUGCGUACCUUUUGUAUAAUGGGUCAGCGACUUAUAUUCUGUAGCAAGGUUAACCGAAUAGGGGAGCCGGAGGGAAACCGAGUCUUAAUUGGGCGUUAAGUUGCAGGGUAUAGACCCGAAACCCGGUGAUCUAGCCAUGGGCAGGUUGAAGGUUGGGUAACACUAACUGGAGGACCGAACCGACUAAUGUUGAAAAAUUAGCGGAUGACCUGUGGCUGGGGGUGAAAGGCCAAUCAAACCGGGAGAUAGCUGGUUCUCCCCGAAAGCUAUUUAGGUAGCGCCUCGUGAAUUCAUCUCCGGGGGUAGAGCACUGUUUCGGCUAGGGGGCCAUCCCGGCUUACCAACCCGAUGCAAACUGCGAAUACCGGAGAAUGUUAUCACGGGAGACACACGGCGGGUGCUAACGUCCGUCGUGAAGAGGGAAACAACCCAGACCGCCAGCUAAGGUCCCAAAGUCAUGGUUAAGUGGGAAACGAUGUGGGAAGGCCCAGACAGCCAGGAUGUUGGCUUAGAAGCAGCCAUCAUUUAAAGAAAGCGUAAUAGCUCACUGGUCGAGUCGGCCUGCGCGGAAGAUGUAACGGGGCUAAACCAUGCACCGAAGCUGCGGCAGCGACACUGUGUGUUGUUGGGUAGGGGAGCGUUCUGUAAGCCUGUGAAGGUGUGUCGUGAGGCAUGCUGGAGGUAUCAGAAGUGCGAAUGCUGACAUAAGUAACGAUAAAGCGGGUGAAAAGCCCGCUCGCCGGAAGACCAAGGGUUCCUGUCCAACGUUAAUCGGGGCAGGGUGAGUCGACCCCUAAGGCGAGGCCGAAAGGCGUAGUCGAUGGGAAACGGGUUAAUAUUCCCGUACUUGGUGUUACUGCGAAGGGGGGACGGAGAAGGCUAUGUUGGCCGGGCGACGGUUGUCCCGGUUUAAGCGUGUAGGUGUGUGUUCCAGGUAAAUCCGGUUCACUUUAACACUGAGGCGUGACGACGAGGCACUACGGUGCUGAAGCAACAAAUGCCCUGCUUCCAGGAAAAGCCUCUAAGCAUCAGGUAACAUCAAAUCGUACCCCAAACCGACACAGGUGGUCAGGUAGAGAAUACCAAGGCGCUUGAGAGAACUCGGGUGAAGGAACUAGGCAAAAUGGUGCCGUAACUUCGGGAGAAGGCACGCUGACACGUAGGUGAAGUGAUUUACUCAUGGAGCUGAAGUCAGUCGAAGAUACCAGCUGGCUGCAACUGUUUAUUAAAAACACAGCACUGUGCAAACACGAAAGUGGACGUAUACGGUGUGACGCCUGCCCGGUGCCGGAAGGUUAAUUGAUGGGGUCAGCGCAAGCGAAGCUCCUGAUCGAAGCCCCGGUAAACGGCGGCCGUAACUAUAACGGUCCUAAGGUAGCGAAAUUCCUUGUCGGGUAAGUUCCGACCUGCACGAAUGGCGUAAUGAUGGCCAGGCUGUCUCCACCCGAGACUCAGUGAAAUUGAACUCGCUGUGAAGAUGCAGUGUACCCGCGGCAAGACGGAAAGACCCCGUGAACCUUUACUAUAGCUUGACACUGAACAUUGAGCCUUGAUGUGUAGGAUAGGUGGGAGGCUUUGAAGUGUGGACGCCAGUCUGCAUGGAGCCGACCUUGAAAUACCACCCUUUAAUGUUUGAUGUUCUAACGUGGACCCGUUACCCGGGUUGCGGACAGUGUCUGGUGGGUAGUUUGACUGGGGCGGUCUCCUCCUAAAGAGUAACGGAGGAGCACGAAGGUUGGCUAAUCCUGGUCGGACAUCAGGAGGUUAGUGCAAUGGCAUAAGCCAGCUUGACUGCGAGCGUGACGGCGCGAGCAGGUGCGAAAGCAGGUCAUAGUGAUCCGGUGGUUCUGAAUGGAAGGGCCAUCGCUCAACGGAUAAAAGGUACUCCGGGGAUAACAGGCUGAUACCGCCCAAGAGUUCAUAUCGACGGCGGUGUUUGGCACCUCGAUGUCGGCUCAUCACAUCCUGGGGCUGAAGUAGGUCCCAAGGGUAUGGCUGUUCGCCAUUUAAAGUGGUACGCGAGCUGGGUUUAGAACGUCGUGAGACAGUUCGGUCCCUAUCUGCCGUGGGCGCUGGAGAACUGAGGGGGGCUGCUCCUAGUACGAGAGGACCGGAGUGGACGCAUCACUGGUGUUCGGGUUGUCAUGCCAAUGGCACUGCCCGGUAGCUAAAUGCGGAAGAGAUAAGUGCUGAAAGCAUCUAAGCACGAAACUUGCCCCGAG